GCCGGGGUAGCUCAGAGGAAGAGCACCUGUCCUACAAACAGGAUGUCGAGAUUUCGAAAUUCUCUCCCGGUAC
This 73-nucleotide transfer RNA is filed under the name Streptomyces phage Moab. RNAcentral's name for it is "tRNA-Val". It matches the Rfam family "tRNA". From Rfam's summary of the family: Transfer RNA (tRNA) molecules are approximately 80 nucleotides in length. Their secondary structure includes four short double-helical elements and three loops (D, anti-codon, and T loops). Lineage: Duplodnaviria; Heunggongvirae; Uroviricota; Caudoviricetes; Stanwilliamsviridae. RNAcentral also lists the same sequence under 1 other name. The record is from RNAcentral.